This 2119-nucleotide long non-coding RNA is filed under the name Homo sapiens (human). RNAcentral's name for it is "non-protein coding lnc-KLRB1-12:6". The record is from RNAcentral. Lineage: Eukaryota; Metazoa; Chordata; Mammalia; Primates; Hominidae.
CUCCGUCCCCGCCUCGUGGUGUGUACCUCCCCCCACUGCGAUGGUGGUCCCAAGAGCCAGGGGGGAAGUGGGGCUGGCUCUCAGUCCCCGCCUCGCAUGGGGUGCCUCCUCCUCCCUGCGAUGGGGGCCGAAGAGCGAGAGGUGAAGAGGGGCUGGCUCUCAGUCCCUGCCUCACGGGGGGUACCUCCCCCGCUGCGAUGGCUGUCCUAAGACACGGGGGGGAAGAGGAGCUGGCUCUCAGUACCUGCCUCGCGUGGGGUGCCAAGCGCCUGCGAUGGGGGUCCUAAGAGCCACGGGGGGAAGAGGGGCAGGCUCUCCGUCCCUGCCUCGCGGGGGGUGCCUCUCCCCGCUGUGAUGGGGGUCCUAAUAGCCAGGGGGCGCAGAGGGGCUGGCUCUCAGUCCCCGCCUCGUGUGGGGUGCCUCCCCCCCCCGCAAUGGGGGUCCUAAGAGCCAGGGGAGGAAGAGAGGCUGGCUCUCAGUCCCUGCCUCGCGGGGGGUGCCUCCCUCACCAGCAAUGGGGCUCCUAAGAGCCAGGGGGGAAGAGGGGCUGGCUCCGGUACAUUGCAAAUGACCUGCUUUUUUUCUGAUCCCGAGCUGCGUUCAGACCCCUGUCGGAUAGUAAAUCCCAAGUAAGGUACCUUCUGCUGGAAGAUCUGAGCUUUCUUCUUGGACACCUAAAACCCACAGUCCUCCAGUGAAGGAUCCAGUGAGAUUUUCCAGGUUAACGGUCAUAAUCGCCUACUGGUCCAACGUUCAGAAGUAACACAGGCACCUGGACAAUACACAGUAGAUGUGGAAGGACACGGUUGUACAUUUAUCCAGGCCACCCUUAAGUACAAUGUUCUCCUACCUAAGAAGGCAUCUGGAUUUUCUCUUUCCUUGGAAAUAGUAAAGAACUACUCUUCGACUGCUUUUGACCUCACAGUGACCCUCAAAUACACUGGAAUUCGCAAUAAAUCCAGUAUGGUGGUUAUAGAUGUAAAAAUGCUAUCAGGAUUUACUCCAACCAUGUCAUCCAUUGAAGAGCUUGAAAACAAGGGCCAAGUGAUGAAGACUGAAGUCAAGAAUGACCAUGUUCUUUUCUACUUGGAAAAUGGUUUUGGUCGAGCAGACAGUUUCCCUUUUUCUGUUGAGCAGAGCAACCUUGUGUUCAACAUUCAGCCAGCCCCAGCCAUGGUCUACGAUUACUAUGAAAAAGGUAGGCAAGCAACAGCCAUGCCCUAAGGUUAUUGAAUGUGGUAUUUAUAUCUAAUAUUCCCUGAGCUACUAAAUUUCCAAAAUCAACCUCCGUCUUCACAGAGUAAACAAUAGAUGGCAUUACUUUGUAUACUGGUUUCUUUAUCCCAUGAUGUGUCUUCUGACUGAACCCAUUUUCCAGUUACCAGAGUUUUUCAACACCAGAAUCCUUGCAAUAUAACCUGACAGGGCUCCACUUGAACUUGAAAUACAAGCCACACUAAGCUUCCAGGUCUUUUUGUUAUUGUCAUUGUUGUUCAUGCUAAGACUGACUGUUCCAAGCUACUUCUGUGGACUUUGACUUAAAGAGAGGAGUGGGGAAUAUUCUGAAAUGCUAACUAACUUAAAAAUUUGAUAGAUUAAUUUCUAAAACAUAUACAAAGAUGUUGUAGAGACCAUACAACUGUUCCCUGGAAGGUUGGUACUAUUUAUUUCUUGUUGAAUGCUGUGUGAAGUUUGUGGAGUGUUUGAAUUCUGUCUCUAUCAUUUACUAAUAGAAUAUAUUUCAUCAAGUGUCUUAAAUAUUAUUAGCAUAUUUCUGGAUGUAUAAAAUGGGAAAGUAAUUGUCUCUAUUUCAAAAUUAUUGGAAGGAUUAGAUCUAAUGUGCUUAUAUCAUCUAUUUAAUAAAAAUACAUGUUCCCUUUAUUUUUUCAGAAGAAUAUGCCCUAGCUUUUUACAACAUCGACAGUAGUUCAGUUUCCGAGUGAGACAAAGCAAUUACUAGAAGAGUUGGAGAAGCAUUUCUUGUAACAAACUGAUUCUUCUGUAUCAAACCUGGAAAAAAAUCAUGAACCAUCUGACAUCGUGAACAGUCUGCAGUGGGCUAUGGUUUCUUGUCAAGUCUUAUUUCCUUAUCAUCCCAUUAAAUGUUGUCAUUUUGCAU